Drosophila sulfurigaster albostrigata is the source of this 1296-nucleotide long non-coding RNA. RefSeq lists it as uncharacterized. Lineage: Eukaryota; Metazoa; Arthropoda; Insecta; Diptera; Drosophilidae. The record is from RefSeq and is a predicted model, not a curated record. The transcript is spliced from 3 exons.
AGUCGCCGUCCAGACUCGUACUUCAUUCAGUGUCUGUGAAGGCGACUUGUUUAUAAACUGAAUUUUUCUUGUUGAUGGAUUUGCCAAAAUAAAUAAGUGAACGGUAUUUGUACGGAAGAAUACCCUGCGUUGAACUUAAUAAUUAAAAGGGUAUUCAAAUUCGUUGAAUCUCAAUGGUAAUAGCUGUUGCCACCGUUGGGAGUGACCCAAAUCUGCAAGCAGUGAUUGGAAGACUCCCAGGAAUAUCAUAAUCGGCAAACAGCGAGAGAGCAGCCAAGCGGCAAGACAAGUCAAGUCGUGCAUCUCAUUGAGGCAGGGCUUCUCGGACAAAUCGCACUCAAGCUGAACUCCACUCUACAGUUCAGCAUCGAAGUGGAAGUUAAGUUUUUCGACUGUGGGCGAACCAAAAAGAAGCCAAUGUCUGCAAUUGACCCCAACGAAAGCGUAUUUGCGAACGGGUAUUCAAAGCGUUUUGGUACACGCUCCAUUUCCAAACGAUAUUUGAACAUAUUUUGAAAACAUUCAUCAUUAUCGAGUCGUUGUUGUUAUUGUUGUUGUUGUUGCUUUGCUUGAGUGACGGGCGGAGCGUCAAUUUAAUGAAGCGCGGCAAUUCUUUUUGGAAGUGAAAAAACGACCGAUAAUUAUUGAAUAAUGUUUCUUACAACAUCAUCCAUUAGCCACGUUCCCCCCACUUUCACACUCUCUCUCUCUCUCUUUCCCUCAAAUGUGCACACAUGACUUUGACUUGCUUUGUUAUCGCUGCAGAUGCCACAAAUGUAUGUUCCAGUGAUAAAAUUCAACAAGAAAGCGCGCAACAAAAGACAUCUAUUAAAUUAUAGCAGUACCCACAGGCACACACACACACACAUACAGUUGCACUCUCAUACACAAUGAAGUUGACCUCACAAUAGACCCAGAGCUCAAGAGUGCAGGCGACCUACCGACUAUACUACCGAAUCGGAAUCGUAGCCGCAGCCGAAGCCGAAGCCAACAUGUUGCACAGAUAGCGCGGACAAAGUUCAAGUGAGAAGCGGACAUACGAAUACCAUAAUAAUCAUAUUCAUAAUCAUAAUAUAAUCAGUUAACAUACUGAUACAUGCCAGGGAGGAAAAGGAAGAGGCAGGGCUGCUGAGGGGCGGCGUUGUGGAAUGCCACGGCAAUUGAGCGCAGAAUAACAAAUAACAAUAUAAAUGGCGACAGUUGCAACUAACACAACAAUAACAAAAUACAUCAACAAUGCAACAAAGUUGAGAGCAUGCAACUGCAGCAUACCCUGCAACAGACUCGAUCACAUGA